AUUCAGCUGAUGAGUCCCGAAUAGGACGAAACGCGCGUCCCUGGUU
Non-coding RNA from Schistosoma curassoni, 46 nucleotides. The record is from Rfam. NCBI's taxonomy places the organism in Eukaryota, Metazoa, Platyhelminthes, Trematoda, Strigeidida, Schistosomatidae.